GGGGCAACUCCUUCUACACUUCUCCGUAAGUACUCUAAGGAUGCUUGAGCAGGGGCUACAGCCUGGAUGAUCUACUUAUACAACCUCAUGAAAUACCAUAUAUGCCUACCUCUUAGGUACAAAAAUAAAAUAUGCUCAACCAUAUCAUCCUCCAAACCAUAACAUAGGUAGGCCGAUUAGAUCUCCAUACCUCGGCCUCUCAGCAAGGAUCUCAUUGGAAGCUAACCCCAGGCCACCUUCCAAAGAAAGAGGCUUAUUUGCAAGUAUAACCCCAUCCUUCAAAUCCAUCC
This 290-nucleotide long non-coding RNA is filed under the name Elaeis guineensis (African oil palm). Its description in RNAcentral is "long non-coding RNA (EGUI_LNC018852)". The record is from RNAcentral. Lineage: Eukaryota; Viridiplantae; Streptophyta; Magnoliopsida; Arecales; Arecaceae.